UGUAGGGUGCCGAGGACGCACUGCGCAUGUCUGGGAUGCGAGGUGGGAAGUGAAGCGAGAUGCUGCCGAAGGCACGAGAUGACAACAAUUUCAGCAGCGGACUCAGAAUCGCCAGUCCGUAAUCCCCGCCAGCUUUUCAGUGUGUUUCUGGAGCAGUUCGCGUGCGGCGGUGUUUUGUGCGUUGUGUUGAGUGUUGACUGUUAAGGCGAAAGGGCUGGCUUCUUUGAAGGCUUACAAACAAUUUUGUCCCGACUCGACAAACAACAAAAAAUAAGUGCAUAGCCAGCCAACCGAGAGUUUAAAAGUGCAUUCCGCUGCAGCAGAACUAUAUUUGCACUUUCAUACAGCCCCUGGCGCUGAUUUGGGGGCGUGGCAGGUCGGCGGCGGACAAUGAACCCGCCCACGCAGCAAGGACAAUAAUUGCAGACUGAAUUGGCGUGGGAUGCCAGUGGAGGAGCAGCAUGAGUUGGCCCUUUUGGAGCGAUGGCAUAACUCGCAUUACGGCCGUUAAGUUUCGGUAAGUUGGCAAGUUAAGACGCCGGAAAUGGGCAGUCUGCCAAAUCUUCACGAGCUGGAGGAGGCGGAGCGCAAGCGGGAGAAGCGGCGGGAGUACGAACUGCUGCUGGAGCAGCGAGCCCGGGACACCAGUCGCGAGCGGGAGCGACUCUCCGCGUUCGCUCAGCAGCGCAAGCAAUCGUCGUAUAAUGCUUACAUAAUGGCUGGUCUGGGGAUUGGUGGCGGAUCCUUGAGCCUCAAUGCCACCGCAGGCACUGCCACCGGCAACGGAGAGCUGCCCGGUGGCAAUGGGACAGCUGCGGGAAAGGGCCAGAUCCAGGCGGUGGGCACAGCAUCUGGAUUGGCCGCCAGUGCGGGUGCUCCGGUGGCCAGCAGUGGAUUUGCGAUGCUGGGACUGGGCAAGAAGUAUAUCCCACACUCACACCACCAUCAGCAUCAGCACCAGCAUCAGCACCAGCACCAUCAGCACCGCCAUUCGCUGACCACCAGGCACAGAGUGCUGCGAACGCGCAGUUCUGGAGGAGCCCAGAACGUCUGGGAGGAGCAGAUGAUGGAGCAGCACAUCACCGCAUACUCGCCGUCGCCCAUCUCGACACGCUCGCAUCGAAUAAAUCCGGUGUCCUCGUACCAGGUGCAGGCUGCUCUGGCGGCCUCGCGUCGCCGGGAGUCGAUAAACAGCUCCAUUGGAGCCACCUCCAUACGGCGACUGAUAACGCUGAACAACAGGAAUUGCCGGCACAAGGUGCCAGCCCAUGUGCGCCAGAAGGUGUGGCGCCAGUUUAGCUGCUUGAGCUUGGCCCAUGGACUGAUGAACUGCGUCCUGCUGCCGGUGAUGGCGCUCCAGGGCUCCAAUGCAGUGUGGCACCAUCGGGAGGAAUGGUUGCCCCUCGGCCCGGAGAUUGGAUCCCUGCUGCUGAGUGCUCUCUUCCUGGUGGCCGCUGGCAUGAGCCUGCCCAGCAUUCGACUGAUGAAACGCUAUGGUUAUGGCCCACUGAUAGUGGCCAACUAUAUGACAGUGCUUCUCUUCCUCCUGUCGCACCUGUACGCCUCCAUUUACACCCUUCUACCCGCCUACCUGCUGCUGGGCGUGACCCUGAGCGGAUCCGCUGGCUCCAAGGCGGCCUUGAUUGUCCACUUUGGUGGGAAGCUGAGCUGCUCCUGCGAGUCGCAGCAGUCGCAGGCGGCCGUCGAUGUGCUUCACGAGGAGCACAAGAUGUUUUGCAAUCGGGAUCAGAAGGUGAGGCGUCUGGCCAGGUGGUUCAGGGUUUCCCAGGACCUGGGACUCAUCGGCGGAGCCCUACUCGCCUCCAUUUUGCUGGCCUGCAGCGAUGGCAACUUUACGGGCGAUUGCUCCGGACUGGUUUACUAUGGCAACGAGAGCUGGCCACCGCAACUGCGCGAUUUCUACAAUAGGAACGAGCACGGCGACAGAAUCUGUGGGGCAGACAUGUGCCCACUGAGAGUGCAAUCCAUCCUGGCAGCCGGAUGGGCCAAUGGCAGCUCCAUACCCAGCUCCAUCUAUGCGGGCUUCAUCGAAAGCGAGCCCCGGGUGGCCGGGCAAUCGCUGCUCUGGCUGUACGUUCUGUUCUCGAUGAUAUCGUUGGUCCUCUCGCUGCUGAUUGUGGUGGACAAGGUGCAGGCCACUGGGUCAUCGCGACCAGAGCGCUCCAGAGAUGUGAGCAUCACGGACACCCUGCUCUUUGCCGGUCCGCUGGCCUAUUUUGUGGGCACGGAACAGGCGUACAUGAUGGGUGACUUCCUGCGGGCCUUCGUCACGUGCUCCUUGGGGAUCGGCAUGAUUGCCGGCGCCUUGAUUGGCAUGGGUCUGAUGCAGCUCAUUGUCUCCUGCACCUUGAGCAUGCUGCUCAGGCAUGUCAAGCGGAUCGUCGUGAUUUUGGCUGGUUUCUUCUUCCACUCCUGUCUGCUGCUGGCCCUGUCCAGUUGGAAGCCGUCGAGUGACGACAGUGCCCUGUUCUACGUGAUUGCCGCCUCGUGGGGCGCCUGCAAUGGGAUGUGGGAGACGCUCCUGCUCUCGCUGGUCACCCUCAAUCAUGCCAGUCAUGUGACGGAGGUGCAGGCGCCUCUGCUGGCCCUCCGGUUCCUGGGCCUGGGUCUGACCUUCGCCGGUCACGGCUUCCUCUGCGAAUCGAUGAAGAUCAUCGCUCUGGUGGUGCUGCUCGUCAUCAGUGUGCCGCCAUAUGCUACGCUGGAGAUCCGAUUGGAGGCGCAACGCAAGGCGACGCUAGUCAGUUUAUGACGCAGCAUCUUCAGCUAGUCCCGACGAAUGCGACGGGAUGUCGUGGCCCGGACGCACACCAUGUGACAUGUUCCGGAUGCGGACACGGAUACGGACGCAGAACUGGAUUCGGUUCGGCGGCCAGAUCUCCUCGAGAUCGAUAUCGAGACCAAGAUCGAGACGCAGCCCGUCAGCAUGGAACGAGAGACACAAGUCAAGCGACGCAAGCUACACUUCAAGCUCAGUGGACAGAAGUCGCUCGAUUCGGAAAGGGAUACAGUUUGAAGGAGGCUCCAACUGAUAUAUGCAUAUUGACCUCUGGCUAUUGACCUCUGGCUAUUUGACCUCUGUCCGUGGGCCUAGAGGAUAAGACUAGUUAAUAGGUUUGAUCUACACUCAUGUGGGAGGGGAUGAGGUAUUCCCUCGAUGUGGGUGCAUUCUCAAUUUAUAGCAUUUGCCAGUGCCAGUAAUGUUGUUCCAUGUCUAUAACCUAUCUAUCAAAUAGAGAAAUAGAGAUAGAGACAGAUAGAGAGGAAUAUAUAUAUAUAUAUAUAUAGAGGGAGAGAGAGAGAGAGAAAGAGAGAGAGAGAGAGAGAGAGAGGGAGGAGAAGAGCUUUAUGAGCCACAAUAAGCAUCUAGCAUGUAGAACGUUAUAUAUGUAUGUAUGGUAUGUAUAUACCAGUAUAUCCGAUCUGAGGUGAAACGAUAUCAAUUGCCGUAUCUGCGCAUCUGCAUACAUGUGUAUAUGUAUUUCGCCAAGGGCUCCAAAAAGGUUUUUGUGUGUUUUUCCCAAUGUAAACUCCUAGGCGUAGGCGUGUAUUCAAUUGGAACUCCAGUUUGCGGUUUGCAGUUUCCAAACCGCAGCGAUCCGAUCCCGAUCCUGAUCCGGUCCAGAGUUAAUGUAUGUUAUGUAUGUGUUGUCGGUGUUAUGUGCGUUAUAUAGGUUUCGAGACCCUCCACUUUCGCCUAACCACAGGUGCAACCCGAUUCAGAUCCCGAUUCAGAUCUAGAUCCAGAUCCAAAUCUAGAUACAGAUCAAGCUGUUAUGAUAACCAGGUGAAAUCCUAAGGUCUAAGGUCUAAAAGCAACAAUGUUAACAUUUUUAAAAUUUUGAGAGUAACCAUUUUGCGACCGCUGACGAUUUCAUACAUCGGGCCAAGUAUUGCGAGUAUGUUGCUAGCCAUAUACUACGAGUAUAUAUGUAUACAUAUAUGUACAUCUACAUAUACACAUAGACAUAGACAUUAACAUACUAUAGUAUAUAUUUUUUCUUAGCGCUGGUUCCAUCUGAAUACUGAAUAGUGAAUAGUGAACAAAGCAGGUGGCUAAACGAAUGAAACCGGUGGGACGGGAAGCCGAAUACAGAUCCAGAGUUCUACGUGUAUUGGAUGUGUGUUGUAUAUUUGGCUUGUUCUCCAGCAAUUAAAACCGCCCUCGUUUACGCCUAAUUGCAAACAACUGGACUCAACAAUGCGCUGAGCUGGAGCUUUUUGGAGCAUUGGAGCUUUCUCUCGCCGAUCCAAAACGAUCCCAACCGAUCCGAUCCGAUCGCGAAAAGCUAAAGAUCGCGUCCGACUAGUGGUCACAUAUCAU
This 4345-nucleotide unclassified non-coding RNA is filed under the name Drosophila yakuba. Its description in RNAcentral is "GE16960". Lineage: Eukaryota; Metazoa; Arthropoda; Insecta; Diptera; Drosophilidae. The record is from RNAcentral.